This 72-nucleotide transfer RNA is filed under the name Camelus ferus (Wild Bactrian camel). It matches the Rfam family "tRNA". Rfam says of the family: Transfer RNA (tRNA) molecules are approximately 80 nucleotides in length. Their secondary structure includes four short double-helical elements and three loops (D, anti-codon, and T loops). The record is from Rfam by way of RNAcentral. Lineage: Eukaryota; Metazoa; Chordata; Mammalia; Artiodactyla; Camelidae.
GAGGGUACAGCUCAGCGGUAGAGUGUGUGCUUAGCACACACGAGGUCCUGGGUUCAAUCCCCAGUACCCCCA